This 472-nucleotide ribosomal RNA is filed under the name Desulfovibrio sp. enrichment culture clone CIBANICRA-SRB40. Its description in RNAcentral is "bacterial SSU rRNA". It matches the Rfam family "Bacterial small subunit ribosomal RNA", at positions 270 to 733 of the family's 1533-position model. Lineage: Bacteria; Pseudomonadati; Thermodesulfobacteriota; Desulfovibrionia; Desulfovibrionales; Desulfovibrionaceae. The record is from RNAcentral.
UCAGCAACGAUGAGUAGCUCGACUGAGAGGAUGAUCGGCCACACUGGGACUGAGACACGGCCCAGACUCCUACGGGAGGCAGCAGUGGGGAAUAUUGCGCAAUGGGGGAAACCCUGACGCAGCGACGCCGCGUGAGGGAUGAAGGCCUUCGGAUCGUAAACCUCUGUCAGGAGGGAAGAAACUGUUGGGGUAUAAUACGCCCGUUCACUGACGGUACCUCCAAAGGAAGCACCGGCUAACUCCGUGCCAGCAGCCGCGGUAAUACGGAGGGUGCGAGCGUUAAUCGGAAUCACUGGGCGUAAAGCGCACGUAGGCGGCGCAUUAAGUCGGACGUGAAAGCCCUCGGCUCAACCGAGGAAUGGCGUUUGAAACUGGUGUGCUGGAGUCUCGGAGAGGUUGGCGGAAUUCCAGGUGUAGGACUGAAAUCCGUAGAGAUCUGGAGGAACACCGGUGGCGAAGGCGGCCAACUGGA